Molecule: long non-coding RNA, 1332 nt
Organism: Hipposideros armiger (great roundleaf bat)
Lineage: Eukaryota; Metazoa; Chordata; Mammalia; Chiroptera; Hipposideridae
Exons: 3
Source: RefSeq, a predicted model, not a curated record
GUGGUCAUUAGGUAGGGGAAUUUAUACAUUCCCCUUUUUUUUUGCAGCAAGGACCCAAACUACCUCCCAGGAGGAGAUGCCUCAGUGCAUCAUAAUAAUACCACAUUUUUCUAUGGCUCUAAUCAACCUAUUACACAAUAUGAUUUGCUGAGCUUUUCCUGAAAGCGGUGGGAUUUGAGUGCUCUCAAGGGUCUUCACUGCAGGAGGAAACACUGUACCUAAGCUGAUGUAGAGACAGUCAAGAGAUUCUGAGAUGAGCACCAGUUUUUGGGGGAAGCAUGCCCGGGAUGUGACUUGGAAGAACGGAUCCGGACUUUUGGGCACAGAGCAUCAUCUCACUGGGAAUCUGGCUCUCAAGUACUGAAUCUGGAACAAUUUCCCUCUAUGCGAAUGCCAUGUUGGCCAGGGAUAGAAACCACAUGGUUGCCAUGAACUCCUCCAUCGAGAUGAGUGGGUACGGCUCUGCUUGAAGCUCUCAUUCCAUUCAUGGAACAAGAUGACAUGCGGGGCUGUGCUAUUUUCCAGACACCUUACUUGCUCAAGUAAGUUCACGUAAGGUGUGCAGAAGCCAGUUCCAGUGGGAGGCAUUUAGCCCUGGCAGCCUCGGAGAGCACUUGCCAGGGGAAGAAACUACACAUGGCUGCUUCAGGAGGCUGAGAGGAAGUCAAAGCAGACUGAGUGAAGAGAUCCAUGAACUUCAAACAGAAGUUUCCCGGAUGCUUCGGACUUGGGUAAGAUGUAGCAGAUUGUGUCAUGUCAAUGUUUCUACUACAACAACUACAAAGAAGCCAGUCACAACAGGUGAAACAUGGACUUUACAAUCUAAAAUCUGAAAAAUGACAGAAAAGGAAAAUCAGUGAAUGAAGAAAAAGAAAAAAAAGAAAAAAAGUGAAUUCCCAAGAGCAAAUACUGUGCUGCUGUGUAAUCAACUGACUCCCUUUCCUCUCAAAUCAGCAUUGUCUUACUCUGUACUUUGAUCAAAAAGACAAUAAAGCAUCCAAUAUGUUGAAGUGCAGAGGAAGAAAAUUAAGCAAUUUCUAUAUUGUCCUCAGAAACAUAAACAACUCCAUAGGAAACGCAUUUUUUUAGUUUACUGCUGUACGAAACGUGGGACUUGGUUGCUGGUCACAGGCUGCCUGGUCUUCUUGCUCACUGCUCUCGCUGACCUUACUCCUUAGUUCCACGAUAAGUAAUAUUAUUGAGAACAAUGAUGGCAUGAGUUUAGAAAGCACCUUGUACAUAUCUGAGAUAAGGUAUAUUAAUGCCAUCAAAUAUUAUUUGAAAAAGAGUCACAAACUUAAAGAGCAACAUAGGGUAGGUGGGGCUUUAAGG